UUCGGAUUGCAGGCUGCAACCCGCCUGUACGAAGUUGGAAUUGCUAGUAAUCGUGGAUCAGCAUGCCACGGUGAAUACGUUCCCGGGUCUUGUACACACCGCCCGUCACACCAUGGGAGUCGGUAACACCCGAAGUCAGUAGUCUAACCGCAAGGAGGACGCUGCCGAAGGUGGGAUUGACGACUGGGGUGAAGUCGUAACAAGGUAUC
This 209-nucleotide ribosomal RNA is filed under the name uncultured bacterium. RNAcentral's name for it is "partial 16S ribosomal RNA". It matches the Rfam family "Bacterial small subunit ribosomal RNA", at positions 1292 to 1500 of the family's 1533-position model. The record is from RNAcentral.